RNAcentral lists this ribosomal RNA (605 nucleotides) under uncultured bacterium. Its description in RNAcentral is "bacterial SSU rRNA". It matches the Rfam family "Bacterial small subunit ribosomal RNA", at positions 770 to 1375 of the family's 1533-position model. The record is from RNAcentral.
AAACGGGAUUAGAUACCCCGGUAGUCCACGCUGUAAACGAUGUCUACUAGCCGUUGGAGGACUUGAUCCUUUAGUGGCGCAGCUAACGCGAUAAGUAGACCGCCUGGGGGAGUACGGUCGCAAGAUUAAAACUCAAAUGAAUUGACGGGGGCCCGCACAAGCGGUGGAGCAUGUGGUUUAAUUCGAAGCAACGCGAAGAACCUUACCUACUCUUGACAUCCAGUGAACUUUUGAGAGAUCAAUUGGUGCCUUCGGGAACACUGAGACAGGUGCUGCAUGGCUGUCGUCAGCUCGUGUUGUGAAAUGUUGGGUUAAGUCCCGUAACGAGCGCAACCCUUGUCCUUAGUUACCAUCAUUAGGUUGGGGACUCUAAGGAGACUGCCGGUGACAAACCGGAGGAAGGCGGGGACGACGUCAAGUCAUCAUGGCCCUUACGAGUAGGGCUACACACGUGCUACAAUGGCAUGUACAAAGGGUUGCCAAGCCGCGAGGUGGAGCUAAUCCCAUAAAGCAUGUCGUAGUCCGGAUUGGAGUCUGCAACUCGACUCCAUGAAGUCGGAAUCGCUAGUAAUCGUGAAUCAGAAUGUCACGGUGAAUACGUUCCC